GAUGCUAAGACGGUUGCCCCACACACCCAGGGACA
RNAcentral lists this transfer RNA (35 nucleotides) under Burhinus senegalensis (Senegal thick-knee). Its description in RNAcentral is "partial tRNA-Phe". Lineage: Eukaryota; Metazoa; Chordata; Aves; Charadriiformes; Burhinidae. The record is from RNAcentral.